This 529-nucleotide ribosomal RNA is filed under the name uncultured bacterium. RNAcentral's name for it is "bacterial SSU rRNA". It matches the Rfam family "Bacterial small subunit ribosomal RNA", at positions 777 to 1304 of the family's 1533-position model. The record is from RNAcentral.
AAUAGAUACCCUGGUAGUCCACGCCGUAAACGAUGUGUGCUAGACGUCGGAUGUUCCGCAUUCGGUGUCGCCGCUAACGCAUUAAGCACACCGCCUGGGGAGUACGGCCGCAAGGUUAAAACUCAAAGGAAUUGACGGGGGGCCCGCACAAGCGGCGGAGCAUGUGGUUUAAUUCGACGCAACGCGCAGAACCUUACCAGCCCUUGACAUCCCGGUCGCGGGGACCAGAGACGGUCUCCUUCAGUUCGGCUGGACCGGAGACAGGUGCUGCAUGGCUGUCGUCAGCUCGUGUCGUGAGAUGUUGGGUUAAGUCCCGCAACGAGCGCAACCCUCAUCCUUAGUUGCCAUCAUUUGGUUGGGCACUCUAAGGAAACUGCCGGUGACAAGCCGGAGGAAGGCGGGGAUGACGUCAAGUCCUCAUGGCCCUUAUGGGCUGGGCUACACACGUGCUACAAUGGCGGUGACAAUGGGCGGCGAGCCUGCAAAGGUCAGCAAAAUCCCCAAAAGCCGUCUCAGUUCGGAUUGUCCU